Molecule: ribosomal RNA, 385 nt
Filed under: uncultured bacterium
Lineage: Bacteria
Description: bacterial SSU rRNA
Rfam family: Bacterial small subunit ribosomal RNA
Source: RNAcentral
AUUGAACGCUGGCGGCAUGCCUUACACAUGCAAGUCGAACGGCAGCGGACCUUCGGGUGCCGGCGAGUGGCGAACGGGUGAGUAAUAUAUCGGAACGUACCUUUCAGUGGGGGAUAACGUAGCGAAAGUUACGCUAAUACCGCAUAUUCUGUGAGCAGGAAAGCAGGGGAUCGUAAGACCUUGCGCUGAUUGAGCGGCCGAUAUCAGAUUAGCUAGUUGGUGAGGUAAAGGCUCACCAAGGCGACGAUCUGUAGCGGGUCUGAGAGGAUGAUCCGCCACACUGGAGCUGAGACACGGUCCAGACUCCUACGGGAGGCAGCAGUGGGGAAUUUUGGACAAUGGGCGCAAGCCCGAUCCAGCCAUGCCGCGUGAGUGAAGAAGGCCU